This 465-nucleotide ribosomal RNA is filed under the name Vreelandella stevensii. Its description in RNAcentral is "partial 16S ribosomal RNA". It matches the Rfam family "Bacterial small subunit ribosomal RNA", at positions 338 to 795 of the family's 1533-position model. Lineage: Bacteria; Pseudomonadati; Pseudomonadota; Gammaproteobacteria; Oceanospirillales; Halomonadaceae. The record is from RNAcentral.
CCUACGGGAGGCUGCAGUGGGGAAUAUUGGACAAUGGGGGGAACCCUGAUCCAGCCAUGCCGCGUGUGUGAAGAAGGCCCUCGGGUUGUAAAGCAUUUUCAGUGAGGAAGAACGCCUGGUGGUUAAUACCCAUCAGGAAAGACAUCACUCACAGAAGAAGCACCGGCUAACUCCGUGCCAGCAGCCGCGGUAAUACGGAGGGUGCGAGCGUUAAUCGGAAUUACUGGGCGUAAAGCGCGCGUAGGUGGCUUGAUAAGCCGGUUGUGAAAGCCCCGGGCUCAACCUGGGAACGGCAUCCGGAACUGUCAAGCUAGAGUGCAGGAGAGGAAGGUAGAAUUCCCGGUGUAGCGGUGAAAUGCGUAGAGAUCGGGAGGAAUACCAGUGGCGAAGGCGGCCUUCUGGACUGACACUGACACUGAGGUGCGAAAGCGUGGGUAGCAAACAGGAUUAGAUACCCCAGUAGUC